GAUGAACGCUGGCGGCGUGCCUAAUACAUGCAAGUCGAGCGAACAGACGAGGAGCUUGCUCCUCUUACGUUAGCGGCGGACGGGUGAGUAACACGUGUAUAACCUACCUAUAAGACUGGGAUAACUUCGUGAAACCGGAGCUAAUACCGGAUAAUAUAUUGAACCGCAUGGUUCAAUAGUGUAAGACGGUUUUGCUGUCACUUAUAGAUGGAUCCGCGCCGCAUUAGCUAGUUGGUAAGGUAACGGCUUACCAAGGCAACGAUGCGUAGCCGACCUGAGAGGGUGAUCGGCCACACUGGAACUGAGACACGGUCCAGACUCCUACGGGAGGCAGCAGUAGGGAAUAUUCCGCAAUGGGCGAAAGCCUGACGGAGCAACGCCGCGUGAGUGAUGAAGGUCUUCGGAUCGUAAAACUCUGUUAUUAGGGAAGAACAAAUGUGUAAGUAACUAUGCACGUCUUGACGGUACCUAAUCAGAAAGCCACGGCUAACUACGUG
RNAcentral lists this ribosomal RNA (497 nucleotides) under uncultured bacterium. Its description in RNAcentral is "partial 16S ribosomal RNA". It matches the Rfam family "Bacterial small subunit ribosomal RNA", at positions 28 to 507 of the family's 1533-position model. The record is from RNAcentral.